GAUGAACGCUGGCGGCGUGCCUAAUACAUGCAAGUCGAGCGAACAGACGAGGAGCUUGCUCCUUCGACGUUAGCGGCGGACGGGUGAGUAACACGUAGGUAACCUACCUAUAAGACUGGGAUAACUUCGGGAAACCGGAGCUAAUACCGGAUAAUAUUUCGAACCGCAUGGUUCGAUAGUGAAAGGUGGCUUUGCUAUCACUUAUAGAUGGACCUGCGCCGUAUUAGCUAGUUGGUAAGGUAACGGCUUACCAAGGCAACGAUACGUAGCCGACCUGAGAGGGUGAUCGGCCACACUGGAACUGAGACACGGUCCAGACUCCUACGGGAGGCAGCAGUAGGGAAUCUUCCGCAAUGGGCGAAAGCCUGACGGAGCAACGCCGCGUGAGUGAUGAAGGUCUUCGGAUCGUAAAACUCUGUUAUUAGGGAAGAACAAACGUGUAAGUAACUGUGCACGUCUUGACGGUACCUAAUCAGAAAGCCACGGCUAACUACGUG
Molecule: ribosomal RNA, 497 nt
Filed under: uncultured bacterium
Lineage: Bacteria
Description: partial 16S ribosomal RNA
Rfam family: Bacterial small subunit ribosomal RNA
Source: RNAcentral